GAAAGUAAAGAAGGGCGCAUGGCGGAUGCCUUGGCUCUCGGAGGCGAUGAAGGACGUGAUAAGCUGCGAUAAGCUUUGGGGAGGUGCAAAUGACCUUUGAUCCAGAGAUUUCCGAAUGGGACAACCCAAUAUCUUGAAGAGGUAUUAUCUUACUAUGUAAGAGGCUAACGCAGGGAACUGAAACAUCUUAGUACCUGCAGGAAAAGAAAAUAAACAAUGAUUCCCCCAGUAGUGGCGAGCGAACGGGGAACAGCCCAAACCAUCCAUGUUACGGCAUGGGUGGGGUUGUAGGACUACGCCGUUGCAUGAAGACAUCAGAGAAGAACUUUCUGGAAAGAAAGACCAUAGAGCAUGACAGUUGCGUAUUCGAAUGUUGUCGAAGCAUAGUAGUAUCCUGAGUAGCGCGGAGCACGAGGAAUUCUGCGUGAAUCUGCCGGGACCAUCCGGUAAGGCUAAAUACUCCCGAGAGACCGAUAGCGAACCAGUACCGUGAGGGAAAGGUGAAAAGCACUUCGAACAGAAGAGUGAAAUAGUUCCUGAAACCGUGCGCCUACAAGCGGUCGGAGCUCGUUAAUGAGUGACGGCGUGCCUUUUGCAUAAUGAACCUACGAGUUGCCUUUGCCGGCAAGGUUAAGUGUGACGACACACGUAUCCGAAGCGAAAGCGAGUCUGAACAGGGCGUAUAGUCGGCAGUGGCAGACGCGAAACCAAGUGAUCUACCCUUGGCCAGGUUGAAGGCUGGGUAACACCAGCUGGAGGACCGCACCAAUAAGCGUUGAAAAGCUUCUGGAUGAGCUGAGGGUAGGGGUGAAAGGCUAAUCAAACUUGGAGAUAGCUCGUACUCCCCGAAAUGCAUUUAGGUGCAGCCUUGCGGGUUACUGAUGUGAGGUAGAGCGACUGAUAAGAUGCGAGGGCUUCACCGCCUAUCAAGUCUUGACAAACUCCGAAUGCGCAUCAGUUCUACCGCAGGAGUGAGGGCAUGGGUGCUAAGGUCCGUGCCCGAGAGGAGAAGAAUCCGGACCACCUGCUAAGGUCCCGAAAUGACAGCUAAGUUAAACUAACGAAGUCUGACUGCUAAGACAGCUAGGAUGUUGGCUUGGAAGCAGCCAUUCAUUUAAAGAGUGCGUAACAGCUCACUAGUCGAGGAGUCGGGCGUGGAUAAUAAUCGGGUAUCAAGUUGUCUACCGAAGCAGUGGGAUCAUUGAUAUGAUCGGUAGGGGAGCAUUCCAGUCGGCGUCGAAGGCGUACCGUGAGGUAUUCUGGAGCGUCUGGAAAAGCAAAUGUAGGUAUAAGUAACGAUAAAGGGGGCGGGAAACCCCCUCGCCGAAAGACUAAGGUUUCCUGAUCAACGCUAAUCGGAUCAGGGUCAGUCGGGUCCUAAGGCUCAGCCGAACGGCGAUGCCGAUGGCAGAAACGGUUAAUAUUCCGUUACUACCUUCAGGAGUGACGUGGAGACGCAGUAGUGACAGUGCCGCCAUCUGACGGAAUAGAUGGUUGAAGGGUGUAGGAGUCGAUCAUGGCAGGCAAAUCCACCAUGAGAUCCGAACCUGACAGUAUGCCGCGUCCUUCGGGACAAGGCAAUAGUGCGCGUAAGCAUGCUGCCGAGAAAAUCCGCUAAACUUAAUCCUGCAGGUACCCGUACCGCAAACGGACACACGUAGUCGGGAUGAAUAUUCUAAGGCGCUUGAGUGAUUCACGGUUAAGGAACUAGGCAAACUGACCCUGUAACUUCGGGAUAAAGGGUCCCUACCCUUUUAUGGGAGGGCGCAGAGAAUCGGUCCAGGCAACUGUUUAACAAAAACACAGGGCUGUGCCAAAUCGAAAGAUCCAGUAUACAGCCUGACACCUGCCCGGUGCUGGAAGGUUAAGAGGAGAUGUCAUCGAUAAGAGAAGCGUUGAAUUGAAGCCCCAGUAAACGGCGGCCGUAACUAUAACGGUCCUAAGGUAGCGAAAUUCCUUGUCGGGUAAGUUCCGACCUGCACGAAUGGUGUAAUGAUCUGGACGCUGUCUCAACCGUGAGCUCAGUGAAAUUGUAGUAUCGGUGAAGAUGCCGAUUACCCGCGAUGGGACGAAAAGACCCCGUGAACCUUUACUAUAGCUUAUCAUUGAAUCUGGGCACGUGAUGUGUAGGAUAGGUCGGAGGCUUUGAAGCAGGUACGCCAGUAUUUGUGGAGCCGCUGUUGAAAUACGACCCUUUAUUUGUUUGGAUUCUAACCCGUGGAACGGGGACAUUGAUUGGUGGGUAGUUUGACUGGGGUGGUCGCCUCCAAAAGCGUAACGGAGGCUUCUAAAGGUGCCCUCCGGCCGAUUGGUAACCGGCCUUAGAGUGUAAUGGCAUAAGGGCGCUUGACUGGGAGACUGACAAGUCGAUCAGGUAGGAAACUAGAGCAUAGUGAUCCGGUGUUUCCGUAUGGAAGGGACAUCGCUCAAAGGAUAAAAGGUACUCCGGGGAUAACAGGCUGAUCCCUCCCAAGAGCUCAUAUCGACGGAGUGGUUUGGCACCUCGAUGUCGGCUCGUCACAUCCUGGGGCUGGAGAAGGUCCCA
RNAcentral lists this ribosomal RNA (2545 nucleotides) under human gut metagenome. RNAcentral's name for it is "bacterial LSU rRNA". It matches the Rfam family "Bacterial large subunit ribosomal RNA", at positions 1 to 2567 of the family's 2925-position model. The record is from RNAcentral.